This 2225-nucleotide long non-coding RNA is filed under the name Nicotiana tabacum (common tobacco). Its description in RNAcentral is "long non-coding RNA (NTAB_LNC000172)". Lineage: Eukaryota; Viridiplantae; Streptophyta; Magnoliopsida; Solanales; Solanaceae. The record is from RNAcentral.
UGUUUUGUGGAGUUGAGUACAUAUAGGACGGUCUAGUUGAAUGAUUCAGAUUGCUAAAAUAUCCGGGAGUUGAUGCCCAAGGUGGAGGCGGAUAAGCAGAGUACUGUGGGAAUUGAGUCUGAGCACGUGGCGGUAAUUGUUGAGGCUGAGGAUGAAGUUCUAGCUGAGUUCUAGGUUGUUGGUUCAGUUCAGUUUGUAAAGGACAUUGUGGAAGCUGUUGCGAGGUAUGCUGAGAUUGUAAUGAUGAUUCUUGGGGAUACUGUGGUUGAGGCCGAGGAUGAGGUUGAUGCAGAGGCUGGGCUUGAGGUUGGGCCUGGGCCUGGGUCUGGAACUGCGCUUGGGUUGGGGUUUGAAAUUGGUGAUGAUAUUGAGGUUGGGACUGAGGUUGGGACUGAGGUUGAAACUGAGGAGGAAACUGAGGUUGCGACUGAGAUUGAGGUUGGGGUUGGGGCUGAGUCUGAGCCCAAGGAGCUACAUAACUGUUAAAGCUCUGAUCUUGAUAUCCAAGAUAAGCUUGAGAUGCAUAUGGAUUCCCUUGCGUGGUUGAGGCAACAGGCUCCUGAUGCGUGCUAUGAUUGGCUGAAGCAGAAUUUUGUGGGGUCUCGGGAUAUAUACUUGAUGACAAGGUCAGGCUCAAGAGAUCAAUUAUAUCUUGUUCUUUCGUGGGCAUAGCAGUUGGAGGCGGAUCUCGAAGAAUCAAUGCAUUGCUUGUGACAGGAUCCAAUGAUUCUCCCGUAGAAUUGCUAUUAUAGGCAGAGACCAUACCUUCACUUGUUUGCGCUGCUGGACUUGUUUUUGAAUGUCUGCAUCAGCACAAGCGACAACUUCAUUAGAGAAGACAGACCCAAAGCUGUAAAUACAUCAUAAAUCGCAGUUAGUACUUUUGACUUCCAAUAACAUUUAAGGGCAACAUAGUGCACUAAGCUCCCGCUAUGUGCGAGGUCCGGGAAGGACCGGACCACAUUGGAUCUUAUGUAUGCAGCCUUACCAUGCAUUUCUGCAAGAGGCUUGCCGUGAUUAAAUCCAAAUAAAAGUCACUAGCCUUUAUAUUGAGAACUACCCACCCCCCUUCCUUUCUUCAACCAUCUGAACCUUUUGGAAAACCAAAACGACAAUUAAGAAGUACAAUAACGGUCACAACUACAUAAAAAUUUCCUUCCUAUGAAAGUAAUAGCCUGAAAAUCUUGAUCUCUGCCAUGCAUCCACAGCUCUGCAUAAGAGCAAUGAGUUGUUUUAUAUUGGAAGUAAAUGCAGGUUUUGUAUAUUUACCUUCGAGCUAACUGGGCAAAGUCAUCUUCUUCAUCUUCCUCUUCAUCAAUUUGACCUGCUGUUGGUGCAAGAACUGGUGCAGAAGGUUUUGCAUCUGCUGCUGGAGUAGGUGGCUCAACUUCAGCAGGUUUGAGGCUUGGAUCAUGCAUUUCUCUAGCUGAGAUGUUGUUGUUUGGGACUUCAGUUGGAAGUGGAGAACCAGAAGCUAUUGCGUCAUGUUUAGCCAGCACCAUUUGGAGGUUAUCAUUUAAUUCAAGACCCUGAGCCAGAAGUUCUUCAUCCCUAAACACAAACCAGAGCAACUUUUAAGAGGUGAUGAAAAUAUGCUGAUAAAGAAAGAAAAGAAAUAGCAAAUACCAGCCUAGUUAACAUUUGCGUCAAUAUCUUUCUCAUGAACACACCAUAAGAAACAAAAGAUGGAGAAUUACCCGGUGGUGGUCAACAUUUGCAUCAACUUCUUCUGGUUAGAGCGACACUGGUAGACAAGAUCAACUAUAACUUCAUCUUGUACAGCCUAUACAAAACAAAGAUAGAAAAGGAUUAAAGAGGUUCCAUUAAUGAGGUGAAUGAAGGAAGAGUGAGAGAAGUUACUUACCAAGCGAUCGCCUGGAGUCACGGCUUGUAGCAUAUCAGCCAACAGAUCAGCAACUUCCUUCAUAGAAUUUAUGCUGGACAAGCUGCAAGGUAAAAAAGUUAGGACAAAGGAUAUGAUAAAGUAAAUCAUAACAAACCAAUUUAUAUAGUGCAACAACAUCGGAUCAAUAGGCCUGACAUGGCGUACGUCAACUUACCUUAAGUUUUCCAUAUCUGCUGCCAUGGCCUCGUCAAGUCUUGUUGAGGAAUUGCUUGGCAUUCCAUAACCAGGUUGAGGUUGUCUUGGUGCAGGAUGAGUAACAGGUGGAGUAAAAAUUGGAGCUGUAUCAAAUGAACGCUUGGGAAAUUCAACGCCAGCACGC